Long non-coding RNA from Anneissia japonica, 4749 nucleotides. RefSeq lists it as uncharacterized. The transcript has 3 exons. NCBI's taxonomy places the organism in Eukaryota, Metazoa, Echinodermata, Crinoidea, Comatulida, Comatulidae. The record is from RefSeq and is a predicted model, not a curated record.
AGAUUUGUCAUAAUAAUGUUUACUAACAUGAACUAGAUCAGUAGAGCAAGACACAAACAGAAAAAAACAAAACACAAAUUGAUCAAGGUCAUCCGAACUCUCCAACGAACAAUGCAAGACUACAGACAGAGGAUGCAUAGGAUCGGAAUCGUUAUCUGGUGACAAAAUGACAACUGAUGGCAGAUUAACUUCAGGAUGAAGCAGAUAAGAAAGGAUUUGUCUAUCCAAAAAUAUCAUUACUUUCACAAGCCAAAACAUAAGUACAGGAUUGGAUUAGAUUGGAGAUAACCCACAAGGGGCAGAUCCAGGAUUUGGAGGAGGUGGUGGAGGGGGGGGGGGGUUUCAAAAUUUGUAUAAAUGACCCAAAAAACAGAGGUGGACCUGUGAGCUGGAAAUGAGCUUUUCUGAAUCCUGACAGGUCUGUUAAUGACUUUUAAGUUCCUCAAUAUACAAGGUUUUCAGUGGUGGAUCUGGGAAUUUUAAAUAACUUUGACAAAUUAGACGGGCUGCCCCCCCCCCCCUUGAAUCCACCACUGGUUUAUCCCCUCUUGAAAGAUGAUUUUAUCUUUAAUCUUGUACAUUAAGUAGGCCUAUACAGAAAAACAUUAAGGAGAGUCAGAAGAUUGGAUUCUUCUGUUGGAGAUUGGGCAGUACACUGGGAGACAAUCCCUUUCUCCUUUCUGAAGAGUGUACUGUGUUCUUUAACAUGCACAUUUUUUGACAAUUAAUUCUUAUAUUUUUGUGAUUCAUCAUUAGUGCUGCAAAAUUUUUUUUUUUUUUUGUGAAUUUGUUUCCAACUUUCUUGUAAAUUGGGGUAACUUUCAGAGAACUUUGCCUUUUCUAAUGUUUUUAUUUUAAAUGUUAUCUUAUGUUUUUGAUUGAAAUAAAUAAACCAAACUUAUAAACAAUUAAAUCCUACAAUAAAAUCCUAGCAUCCAUGUAAGAAAUAAGUUCCAUGUGGGAUAGAUCAGGAUAUAAGUGUGACCCCUUGAAGAUUUUGCAUUUUUGUUAAGCCAGUUUUAUGUUUUUCAUUUUUUUAAAUACACUUUUUUGUUUUAUGUGAAGUGCAUAGGUUUUUGCAUUAUGCGCUAUAAUAAUUUAACAUUAUUAUUAUUAUUAUUAUUAUUAUAAGGCCACGCCAAAAAUUGGACCAAUUUUAUGUUCAAUGAGGGUGAGCUUAUACUAAAGGAACUAUAGUAUGAUAUGCUAACAAGGCCUACACACUUGUAGCAUUUGCCAAUGACCCUGGUUAUCUUAAUUCCGGAUGAGUAGUAUACAUUUAUUGCAUGGCGUUCAAUAGAGCCUGUAUCCUACCAGCUAAAUUAUUAAACAUGAAUAAAUCAAGGACAAAAUUUUUGAUAUUUUUAUUGUUAUUUUCUUCACACUAACUGACUUAAAGGGUAACUUCUGCAGGCAAUCUCCAGGGGCGGAUCCAGAGAUGUCCGAAAGUGGGGCCAAUCGAGACAACACUACCCUAGUUGGUCCAGAGGAUUCCCCACAAAAUCUUCGUUUUCUAGACACCGGAAAAUAACCUAUUAGGUGUUUUGGGCAAUCAAUAAUUUUUUUUUCCUUCUUUAUUUAAAAAUUUUUUUUUUUUACUUUCCAAAAGAGGGGGUGGGGUGGGGAGAGGAGGUGGGCCCCAUAAAAUCCACCCCUGAUCUCACUGUAGUAUUUCAAUUAAAUCCAGGCUCCUUUUGAUAUAUUGUAGAACUGCUUUUUUUAUUACAGAAAAAGCAUAUUUCCCCCAGUUUUAAGGUUAUGUCAUCUAAAAUGUCUUUAAAUAUAAAAUUUCAAACAAUUUUAAACUAAUAUAAGAAUUAAUGUUUUCAUGGUCUAGUUACGAAAACUUGGCACGCUUUUCAGCGAAAUAAUUAACUUUUUAAUAAAAAUAAAUCUGUCGUAAUCAUGUGGUUUUGCGGGGUCAUUGCCUGGUUUAAUCGAUUGUUUACUGCAGAUCUUAAUUGAGAAACAUAUAAUUUAAUAUAAUAAUCUUAUUGUGUGUUUUUAAUUGACAAUGAAAAAACGACAAAGGGCUACUUCCACACAGAGAGGAUAUCCUGGCAUAAUGUCUUGAAAACUUGGCUCAACUAACUUCAACUGACAGUGUAGAAUUUCUUGCCAAGUUUUUUUACAGCCAAAUCAUAGUAGGGGUCCCAAGCCUUCCUGAGUCACAGGAGUCUGUCACGGAAAUCAGUACGGGAUGCAAAAAUCCCCCAAGUGAGGUAAGAAUUUCUAGUGAACCAACUCAUCUCCCUGCUUAUCUACCACAAAUUGCAAAUGUUUGUGUGCUUUUACUGCUGUGUUAUUGUCUCCUGAAGUUCCCUCUGUAGCACUUCCCAGCAUGUCGCUGUCUGGUGCUUGUCAUUGUGGUUGGACGGUCGUGUGCCCUUAUUUAGUAUAUCAUGCAGUAGUGGUCAUAAUUGGUCUUUACAUUGAGAGUCAAUAUCCUGGUCUUUGGGGUAAGUGUACUGAGUCUUUCAAUAUGCGGCUUGAAGAGACCAAACUCAGACAGAUACUUAAAUUCAUAAUGAAAACAGACUAUAGAAGUGAACCAGGGGUUCAAGUAUCCAUGGUAUAGCGUCCCCGCGCACACGAAAGGGCUGCCACUGACAUAAGUUUAGCCUACUAAACUACAGAGGCGGAUCCAGAGAUGUCUGAAAGGGGGGGCCGAAAGUGGGGCUGAUCAAGAUAACACAACCCUAGAGGGCAUUUCCCUACAAAAUUUAUUUUUUUCUAGAUGACCGAAAAUAACCUCUGAGGCGUUUUGGGUGAUCAAUUUUUUCUUUUUCUUUCUUUCUUUUUUUUAACUUUAAAAGAAGGGUUGGGGCAGGGCCUGGCCCGGCACCCCUUUCCCCCGUCCCCCAAAUCCACCCCUGAACUAUGCUACAGUUCUGUUGUUGAUUUUAGUUUUUUAUAUAUUAUUUAUAUUCCUCAAUUAUGAAGCAGUUAAUUAAUACAAGAUGCAUACAAGGUAGUCACAUUAAACAAAGCAAAGAAAACAAAGAGUGAACAAAUAAUUAAAUAGGUUAUGAACUUUGUUCUUCCAAUUAGCUGACCUGGUUAGGUGUCAAGAAUGUUUAAACAUGGAGAUACUCAGCCUGUGGCCUGUUCAACCAUAAUUGAGAAAUUGUUUCAAUUGAAGACUUCCAGGAAAAUAUUUAUCAUCAUUUUAGGUGAUUUUCAAGAUUGGAAAUUCUUGAAAGUGAUUUAGAUAAUUUUUCCGCGUAAAUUGAUCUUUCAAUUUUGAUUUCAAUUUAAUCAUAGAGAUAUUACUACAGAGAUAAUACGUCCCAUGGUUUAAUAUUAAUAUUGAAAAAGAUAUCUUCCUCAUAUUACACUAUCUAUCAGUGGAAUAAUAUUGAAAAUUUAUAAUCAGUGGUCCCAAGUUUGCAGAAGCCACUUCAAAAAUAGUAGUGCCUGCCUGCCCCCCCUUCCCCCUCCUAAAUUUGUCAAAAUUAUAAAACAAAUGGAGAAAAAGAAGAAAUUAUGUUAAAAGUCAAGUCUGAGAGUGCCAUUUCCGGCCAUCUAGAGGUGCUAUAUUCAUAGUAAAUUUUCUUCCCUCAGCUGCCCCAACCAUGGUAGGGCUGUGGUGGUCUAGACCCACCAUCUGUGAAAGGUACCCUCCCCCGGCCCCGCUUCUGAAUUUCUCGAUCCGCCACUUGAUAGGCUACAGUAGAUUUCUGGACUCUCUUGGGGGGUAUUUUUUCACAUUCUUAUACCCUUGGUCAGCUGAUUUGAGGGAGGCAGUCAAUAUGUAGUAGUUUUUAAAAAAACAUGCAAACUUUCUGAAUUUGUGGUCGAUGGAUUAUAAUGCGACACAAAUGUAUUAGCAGAUGAUGAUCACUCUGAAAUUUUAAACUUAUAAAAGUAAUAACAUUGUGAUAAUUUAAUAAACAUAAUACACUACUGCCCAAAUAACAUCAAUCAAGUAAAUAAUACUAAUAUAUAAAAUCAAUUAUUAAACCUGUUGUAGUCUAUUGUUUCAAAUCUCGACCUUUAGGAUAAAAAUAGAACAAUAACAUUAGUGUGAAAGGUUCAGGGUCACAGUGAUUGUUCCCCUUGACAUACACAGGGUUGUAUUACCUAGUUUGAACAGUACAUGCUUUCUGUGAAACACCCUAUACCAGCCUUUUCACAGACUGCUUUGUUCUUUGUAUACAGUAUGUAAUAGUUCUUUGUGUGUAAAGUUAAGUAGUAGAUAAAAUGGCCAACUUAAGGGUUUGUAGUAGUACAAGUUAGGCCCAACCUUCCUAACUGACAUAACAUUAAAUAAACAAAGACAACAAAGGAUUAACAUUACGCAGAAAAGUUCUCUUGGUUAGAGUUGCAGUCAGAUAAAAAAAAAACAUGUUUGUUAAAUGGUUCUGUUUGUUUUUUUUUUUGUUUUUUUUAAAGAGAAACACUGAAGAUUAACACAAACUUUUUUUUUUUUUUUUCAAACCUUAAAGAAAACAUAUUCAUUGUAAUGGUUUUUGAAAAACUAAAGAGGAUAAAGCCAUACCAAAACAUGUUUUCUUUUCAGCCGCACCUCAAAUAGAGUAUGUUUGUUCCGUAACAUCUCCUUGGUAUGUAUUGUGUGGGUUUUUUUUUUUUUUAAUAUAGAGAACGAUGAACCCGUACAACAAACUUCUUUUCUUUUUUGCCGCAGUUUUUUUUUGACAGUGAGGCUCAUGUAUGAUUGUUUUACCUUGUUAAUCUUACCCUUUAUUAAUUGAAUAAAAUAAAAUAAAAUAUAUAUGGGGGUUUUUU